This 68-nucleotide transfer RNA is filed under the name Oratosquilla oratoria. RNAcentral describes it as "tRNA-Tyr". It matches the Rfam family "tRNA". From Rfam's summary of the family: Transfer RNA (tRNA) molecules are approximately 80 nucleotides in length. Their secondary structure includes four short double-helical elements and three loops (D, anti-codon, and T loops). The record is from RNAcentral. Lineage: Eukaryota; Metazoa; Arthropoda; Malacostraca; Stomatopoda; Squillidae.
GAUAAGAUGGCUGAGGUUUGAGGCGGUAGAUUGUAAAUUUAUUAACGAGGUUGUUUCCUCUCUUAUCA